UAGCUAAAUAUGGGCUAAGUUAAAGAAAAACUGUACAAAAUAGAGUACGACGGGCACUCUGACUGGUCAAAGUCUUGUGACCAAAAAUGCACUUUACUCUGUUUUGAUUAUUGAGACAUUUAUUUCAGCUAAAGCUCACCGCUUAAAAUUUUGGCACCGAUUUUCUAACCAGUGUUUUCUUUUUUACCAAUGGCUUGAUAAUCUGAUAUGCUCAUUUGAAUUGCAGAGAAAGAUGGAGAAAUCAAAGACAGGCAUCUUCUCUGUGUACCUAAAGCUGUAUCCGGGUAAAUAUGAGGUAAGUUGAUUUCCGGGCAUCAACAAUUUUUUAUGCGUUGUCCAUUGAAUUAUGUAUGCUUAAAUGCCUCCUAUAAUAUUUAACAGAUCAAGUUUAUUGUUGAUGGCAUAUGGAAAGUUGAUCCUCUACGCCCCAUUGUCCACAAUAAUGGCUAUGAAAAUAACCUUCUGAUUAUCACAUGAAGGCACAAAAUUAUGCAGGCAGUAGCACGAGAAGGAUGAUCAUUUUACAAACCUUUAGUUUGCAUCAUGUAUUUUACUAAUUAUAAUUCUUUUGACAUCACCCUAUUUCUGUUCUUUGUAUAGUGUAUAUUGGCCGUGAUGGAUCAAUUGUUAUUCUUAGACCAAACUCUCAUUUGGUCUGUCUGUUACUUAUUUUUGUCGGUAUGGAUGGGUCUUGUGGUUGGGUCUCUCUUUUGCACUUGUUUUUGUUUAUUGAAACGAAAUACAAACUUAGAAGGGGGCUUGAUCUUAUAUCCAGCACAAGGUGCAAUAAAAUAUUUUUUGUGGAGAUUACAUGUCAAUAGGUGUUUAAAGAUUACGAUUUGUAAAUCAACUAUGAAG
This 858-nucleotide long non-coding RNA is filed under the name Olea europaea subsp. europaea. The record is from RNAcentral. Lineage: Eukaryota; Viridiplantae; Streptophyta; Magnoliopsida; Lamiales; Oleaceae.